UGCUGAUUGGCACUGGCGCCCUGUGUGGCCUUGGAGGAGCGAAGGGUGGUUGGGAGGUGGGCUCCUCUGUCAGAGGGGAGUUUUAUGAGCCCCUGUAAUCACCAGGCGUUAAACUCAACAAUUAGGAGCUGCGAUUUUGUCGCUGGUUUAUGGCAAGAGGCUAGUUAGCUGCUCGGAUCAGCAGACGGAGGGGGGGGGGCAGGCAGAGAAAACACAGUAGGCUUCAAAGUGUGGUCAGAGAUUACACUGGAAUAGAUCGACUCAAGUUUGAUUAGGAUUUAAACGUUGCACUUUAUGGCUUUGUCAGUGUGUCAUUUAUACACUCUUCUUCUAGAUGCCUCCUUUCUGAUAUUUUUGUGAGGUCUGUCUGUUUCCUGUUCCUGCUGUCUGCUGUGUGGGGUUAAUCAUUGUGAUCACACUCACCUGUGUCUCUGUGAUUAGUCUCACUGCUGUCACCUGGUGCCCUGGGCAUCGUAUCUGUUUGUGAGUGUAGUGGUCUGGUCAAGGUUGUUCCAUACUGGUCAGUUCCUGUUCUGUGUCCACGCUUCCUGUUUGACGGUGAUGCCCUGUGAUGACCAUGCUUCAUUUUCCUCCGACACAGCCCAGGCCUGACCUUCCUGAGCCCCGCUCACAUGAUCUGCCUCCCUCAGGAUGCUGCAAACAGAAACUUCCCUGGGAGUCCUGACGCCUGCUGGGAAACAACAGAGUGGAGGAAACUGACUGUGAUGAUCUGGGAAACAGAAGAGCCUGAACAGCCUGUGCUGCGCUUCAGAUUCAUCUGAGGUUGGGAUUGUGUAAUCUGAAAGUGGUAUGAUGGGGUAAUUUGGGACUCAAUUCUACACAUUUCUUGUACAUUCUUGGAUUUGAAGUUGCGCCCACAGCCGGGGUACAGUGGGUGAAAAGGGCAGCAGCAGGUCCAUCAUGUCAGAGCUCAUUUCUCAGUGGGAGGUUAAUUAAAACAAACUUGUGACACUUUUGUAAAUAGAGAUGAAAACAGCUCUUCUAAAACCACGUUUCCAUGUACAACAAUGUAAGGUAUUUGAAAACAGCCUGCGUCUGUCUUAGCCAGAAAUACCACGGUUAAAGUCAGAUGUUAGUCCAUUUCCAAACGAUAGUAAUCAAAUAUUUUACCCAAACAAGAAAAACUGAUCAGUGAUACAUUCAAUAAAACCCAAUUAUAUGGAUGCCUUC
Cynoglossus semilaevis (tongue sole) is the source of this 1191-nucleotide long non-coding RNA. RefSeq lists it as uncharacterized. NCBI's taxonomy places the organism in Eukaryota, Metazoa, Chordata, Actinopteri, Pleuronectiformes, Cynoglossidae. The record is from RefSeq and is a predicted model, not a curated record. The transcript has 3 exons.